This 2921-nucleotide ribosomal RNA is filed under the name Staphylococcus aureus subsp. aureus ECT-R 2. RNAcentral's name for it is "23s_rRNA". The record is from RNAcentral. Lineage: Bacteria; Bacillati; Bacillota; Bacilli; Caryophanales; Staphylococcaceae.
UUGAUUAAGUCUUCGAUCGAUUAGUAUUCGUCAGCUCCACAUGUCACCAUGCUUCCACCUCGAACCUAUUAACCUCAUCAUCUUUGAGGGAUCUUAUAACCGAAGUUGGGAAAUCUCAUCUUGAGGGGGGCUUCAUGCUUAGAUGCUUUCAGCACUUAUCCCGUCCACACAUAGCUACCCAGCUAUGCCGUUGGCACGACAACUGGUACACCAGAGGUAUGUCCAUCCCGGUCCUCUCGUACUAAGGACAGCUCCUCUCAAAUUUCCUACGCCCACGACGGAUAGGGACCGAACUGUCUCACGACGUUCUGAACCCAGCUCGCGUACCGCUUUAAUGGGCGAACAGCCCAACCCUUGGGACCGACUACAGCCCCAGGAUGCGAUGAGCCGACAUCGAGGUGCCAAACCUCCCCGUCGAUGUGAACUCUUGGGGGAGAUAAGCCUGUUAUCCCCGGGGUAGCUUUUAUCCGUUGAGCGAUGGCCCUUCCAUGCGGAACCACCGGAUCACUAAGUCCGUCUUUCGACCCUGCUCGACUUGUAGGUCUCGCAGUCAAGCUCCCUUAUGCCUUUACACUCUAUGAAUGAUUUCCAACCAUUCUGAGGGAACCUUUGAGCGCCUCCGUUACCUUUUAGGAGGCGACCGCCCCAGUCAAACUGCCCGCCUGACACUGUCUCCCACCACGAUAAGUGGUGCGGGUUAGAAAGCCAACACAGCUAGGGUAGUAUCCCACCAGCGCCUCCACGUAAGCUAGCGCUCACGUUUCAAAGGCUCCUACCUAUCCUGUACAAGCUGUGCCGAAUUUCAAUAUCAGGCUACAGUAAAGCUCCACGGGGUCUUUCCGUCCUGUCGCGGGUAACCUGCAUCUUCACAGGUACUAUGAUUUCACCGAGUCUCUCGUUGAGACAGUGCCCAAAUCGUUACGCCUUUCGUGCGGGUCGGAACUUACCCGACAAGGAAUUUCGCUACCUUAGGACCGUUAUAGUUACGGCCGCCGUUUACUGGGGCUUCGAUUCGUAGCUUCGCAGAAGCUAACCACUCCUCUUAACCUUCCAGCACCGGGCAGGCGUCAGCCCCUAUACAUCACCUUACGGUUUAGCAGAGACCUGUGUUUUUGAUAAACAGUCGCUUGGGCCUAUUCACUGCGGCUCUUCUGGGCGUUAACCCUAAAGAGCACCCCUUCUCCCGAAGUUACGGGGUCAUUUUGCCGAGUUCCUUAACGAGAGUUCGCUCGCUCACCUUAGAAUUCUCAUCUUGACUACCUGUGUCGGUUUGCGGUACGGGCACCUAUUUUCUAUCUAGAGGCUUUUCUCGGCAGUGUGAAAUCAACGACUCGAAGACACAAUGUCUUCUCCCCAUCACAGCUCAGCCUUAACGAGUACCGGAUUUGCCUAAUACUCAGCCUUACUGCUUAGACGUGCAAUCCAAUCGCACGCUUCGCCUAUCCUACUGCGUCCCCCCAUCGAUUAAAACGAUUAUAGGUGGUACAGGAAUAUCAACCUGUUAUCCAUCGCCUACGCCUGUCGGCCUCAGCUUAGGACCCGACUAACCCAGAGCGGACGAGCCUUCCUCUGGAAACCUUAGUCAAUCGGUGGACGGGAUUCUCACCCGUCUUUCGCUACUCACACCGGCAUUCUCACUUCUAAGCGCUCCACAUGUCCUUACGAUCAUGCUUCAACGCCCUUAGAACGCUCUCCUACCAUUGUCCAAAGGACAAUCCACAGCUUCGGUAAUAUGUUUAGCCCCGGUACAUUUUCGGCGCAGUGUCACUCGACUAGUGAGCUAUUACGCACUCUUUAAAUGAUGGCUGCUUCUAAGCCAACAUCCUAGUUGUCUGGGCAACGCCACAUCCUUUUCCACUUAACAUAUAUUUUGGGACCUUAGCUGGUGGUCUGGGCUGUUUCCCUUUCGAACACGGACCUUAUCACCCAUGUUCUGACUCCCAAGUUAAAUUAAUUGGCAUUCGGAGUUUGUCUGAAUUCGGUAACCCGAGAGGGGCCCCUCGUCCAAACAGUGCUCUACCUCCAAUAAUCAUCACUUGAGGCUAGCCCUAAAGCUAUUUCGGAGAGAACCAGCUAUCUCCAGGUUCGAUUGGAAUUUCUCCGCUACCCUCAGUUCAUCCGCUCACUUUUCAACGUAAGUCGGUUCGGUCCUCCAUUCAGUGUUACCUGAACUUCAACCUGACCAAGGGUAGAUCACCUGGUUUCGGGUCUACGACCAAAUACUAAACGCCCUAUUCAGACUCGCUUUCGCUACGGCUCCACAUUUACUGCUUAACCUUGCAUCAAAUCGUAACUCGCCGGUUCAUUCUACAAAAGGCACGCCAUCACCCAUUAACGGGCUCUGACUACUUGUAAGCACACGGUUUCAGGUUCUAUUUCACUCCCCUUCCGGGGUGCUUUUCACCUUUCCCUCACGGUACUGGUUCACUAUCGGUCACUAGAGAGUAUUUAGCCUUAGGAGAUGGUCCUCCCAGAUUCCGACGGAAUUUCACGUGCUCCGUCGUACUCAGGAUCCACUCAAGAGAGACAACAUUUUCGACUACAGGAUUAUUACCUUCUUUGAUUCAUCUUUCCAGAUGAUUCGUCUAAUGUCGUCCUUUGUAACUCCGUAUAGAGUGUCCUACAACCCCAACAAGCAAGCUUGUUGGUUUGGGCUCUUCCCGUUUCGCUCGCCGCUACUAAGGGAAUCGAAUUUUCUUUCUCUUCCUCCGGGUACUAAGAUGUUUCAGUUCUCCGGGUGUGCCUUCUGAUAUGCUAUGUAUUCACAUAUCGAUAACAUGACAUAACUCAUGCUGGGUUUCCCCAUUCGGAAAUCUCUGGAUCAAAGCUUACUUACAGCUCCCCAAAGCAUAUCGUCGUUAGUAACGUCCUUCAUCGGCUUCUAGUGCCAAGGCAUCCACCGUGCGCCCUUAAUAACUUAA